GCCCAGCCGUAAACUUUAACUUACAACCCAACCGCCAGAGAACUACGAGCCUAGCUUGAAACUCAAAGGACUUGACGGUUCCCCAUAUCCCCCUAGAGGAGCCUGUCCUAUAAUCGAUAAUCCCCGUUAAACCUCACCCCUCUUAGCCUAUUCAGCCUGUAUACUUCCGUCGCAAGCCCGCCACAUGAGUGAAACUCAGCGAGCUUAAUUGCCUUUUAACAUAAACGUCAGGUCAAAGUGCAGCAAACAGAGCGGGAAGAGAUGGGCUACAUUCUCUAAUAUAGAGUAUACGAAAAAGCUGUAUGAAACCCAGCUACGAAGGUGGAUUUAGUAGUAAAGAGGGAAUAGAGCGCCCCCUUUAACCCGGCACUGGGGUGCGUACACACCGCCCGUCACCCUCCUCAAUGCCACUCACAAGUACUUAACACCAAACAGCUUCAAGAGGAGGCA
Molecule: ribosomal RNA, 450 nt
Filed under: Craugastor occidentalis
Lineage: Eukaryota; Metazoa; Chordata; Amphibia; Anura; Craugastoridae
Description: partial 12S ribosomal RNA
Rfam family: Bacterial small subunit ribosomal RNA
Source: RNAcentral